This 434-nucleotide ribosomal RNA is filed under the name uncultured eukaryote. RNAcentral describes it as "partial 18S ribosomal RNA". It matches the Rfam family "Eukaryotic small subunit ribosomal RNA", at positions 592 to 976 of the family's 1831-position model. The record is from RNAcentral.
CAAUAGCAUAUACGAAUAUUGCUGCAGUUAAAACGCUCGUAGUCGAAAACACUGUCGGAGACUUCUGAAACAUUUGGGACAGAAGCUCGACAACGACUCAGUCAGCCUGGUCCACUCUCACCCAGGGAAAACACUGACAGAGGGUAAGGCGAAGAGAUUCGGGCCGGCUUCGACCGGAGUUUUCCUAGUAGCCAAAUUACCUUGAAUAAAUCAAAGUUCUCAAAGCAGAUCUUGUGAUCUUCUAUGAAUGAUUAAGCAUGGGAUAGUAAGUUAUCGUCGCAGAACCUUGUUCUGGAUGGGUUCACUAUAUCCCGUCACUGCCUCGGUUAAUAGGAGCAGUCGGGGGCAUUAGUAUUGGUUGGCGAGAGGUGAAAUUCUUAGACCCUACCAAGACUCACUAUAGCGAAAGCAUUUGCCAAGGAUGUUUUCAUUGA